RNAcentral lists this long non-coding RNA (326 nucleotides) under Marmota monax (woodchuck). The record is from RNAcentral. Lineage: Eukaryota; Metazoa; Chordata; Mammalia; Rodentia; Sciuridae.
AAACAAUAUCUUAGCUCCUGGUUCUUGGUACUUCCUGGUGGAAAACAUUGUUAGUCUUUGUCUUUGCCGUCAUACUCAUUGGCAUAUUCCUGUGCUAUGGCAUUUAUUGCUGCAUCAAUAUGGUUCCAGUACUAAUGAAUUCUUGUUUCUCUUAUAGACCACCCAUCACUCAAAUGGCCCUCCAGCCUAUUACUUCUCAAUUGGACUUCUAUCAUGGACCACUCGAUAGACCCGAUUUUUAAAGGGGGACUCCAAACUGCUUUCCCCACACCGUCCCUUUUCAGCCUGAAGAAGCCAGAAAGAUCUUCUUCGCCCCCCUUCCUUAC